Molecule: ribosomal RNA, 253 nt
Filed under: uncultured bacterium
Lineage: Bacteria
Description: partial 16S ribosomal RNA
Rfam family: Bacterial small subunit ribosomal RNA
Source: RNAcentral
UACGUAGGGUGCGAGCGUUGUCCGGAUUUAUUGGGCGUAAAGAGCUCGUAGGCGGUUUGUCGCGUCGGCCGUGAAAUCUCCACGCUUAACGUGGAGCGUGCGGUCGAUACGGGCAGACUUGAGUUCGGUAGGGGAGACUGGAAUUCCUGGUGUAGCGGUGAAAUGCGCAGAUAUCAGGAGGAACACCGGUGGCGAAGGCGGGUCUCUGGGCCGAUACUGACGCUGAGGAGCGAAAGCGUAGGGAGCGAACAGG